RNAcentral lists this ribosomal RNA (240 nucleotides) under uncultured bacterium. Its description in RNAcentral is "partial 16S ribosomal RNA". It matches the Rfam family "Bacterial small subunit ribosomal RNA", at positions 92 to 334 of the family's 1533-position model. The record is from RNAcentral.
CGAGUGGCGGACGGGGUGAGUAAUGUCUGGGAAACUGCCUGAUGGAGGGGGAUAACUACUGGAAACGGUAGCUAAUACCGCAUAACGUCGCAAGACCAAAGAGGGGGACCUUCGGGCCUCUUGCCAUCGGAUGUGCCCAAAUGGGAUUAGCUAGUAGGUGGGGUAACGGCUCACCCAGGCGACGAUCCCUAGCUGGUCUGAGAGGAUGACCAGCCACACUGGAACUGAGACACGGUCCAG